GUGGGGAAUAUUGGACAAUGGGCGAAAGCCUGAUCCAGCCAUGCCGCGUGUGUGAAGAAGGUCUUCGGAUUGUAAAGCACUUUAAGUUGGGAGGAAGGGUAGUAACCUAAUACGUUGCUACUUUGACGUUACCGACAGAAUAAGCACCGGCUAACUUCGUGCCAGCAGCCGCGGUAAUACGAAGGGUGCAAGCGUUAAUCGGAAUUACUGGGCUUAAAGCGCGCGUAGGUGGUUCAGUAAGUUGGAAGUGAAAUCCCCGGGCUCAACCUGGGAACUGCGUUCAAAACUGCUGAGCUAGAGUACGGUAGAGGGUGGUGGAAUUUCCUGUGUAGCGGUGAAAUGCGUAGAUAUAGGAAGGAACACCAGUGGCGAAGGCGACCACCUGGACUGAUACUGACACUGAGGUGCGAAAGCGUGGGGAGCAAACAGGAUUAGAAACCCCGGUAGUCC
RNAcentral lists this ribosomal RNA (450 nucleotides) under uncultured bacterium. RNAcentral describes it as "partial 16S ribosomal RNA". It matches the Rfam family "Bacterial small subunit ribosomal RNA", at positions 354 to 796 of the family's 1533-position model. The record is from RNAcentral.